RNAcentral lists this small RNA (492 nucleotides) under Pan troglodytes (chimpanzee). Its description in RNAcentral is "processed transcript". Lineage: Eukaryota; Metazoa; Chordata; Mammalia; Primates; Hominidae. The record is from RNAcentral.
AAAAAAACUUUAUUGUAGAUAUAUGCAACCUCUAGGCUCAUUUUGACCCCUACCUCAUCUUUUUAAUGCCCAUCAUCUUAAUGUUGUAUCUGGUUUGCCUUUGAUGCCUAGAAGAAAAAAAAAUCUUUGUAUUUACUAAAGAAAACAGUUACUCCCUGAGUAAGAUCAAGUGUUUGAUCUGCGACCUUAUAAGGAAGUUCUCAAAGAAUGGUGAUCUUGGUAUUGAAGAAAGCUGAAUUUCAUCUCAUUAGAAGCCCUCAAGGACGUUUUGUUCUGAAGACUCUCGUAUUCAGCUCUGGGAAAUAUUAUUUCUCUGAUUAUCCCUUCAACUUUUGAAGAUUACCAGAUUUCUCAACAGCAAUACUGUGGUCUGGAAUAAAAGGGGGCACUUCCCUCAGACUUUGGAGAAGACAUUAUUUUGAACUAGAAUUCUGUCUACAGCCAUACUCUCAAUGAAGUAAGAUGGCAGAAUAAAGAUGAUUACACUAGCAA